ACAAGCAGACAGCUCCCGUGAGCAAGCAGGCAUGUGUGGCUGUGGGAUCAGAUGACGAAUUGCACUUUGGCUCAGCUUCCCAUGCUCACUACCCAGGAACAAAUUCCUCAGGAUCCUGAAAGAGAUGGAAAGCUAAAUUUUCCAGUGAAUUUCCCACAAAGUUGUCACUUCACCAGCUGAGCCAGAACCACUGCUACCGCCACCAACACAGCCUCUGUACAGCCACAGCCAUGGCCACAUCCAGCUUCUGCCACAGAACUGAACAUUUGUCAGCCUGAUGACUCCAGGAACCAGCUCACUCCAGUUAAGGGUGAGUUAAUCUCUGAGGUCCUUCUCAUCAACCACCUCUUGUAAACACCUGGUGACGCUUUACAGCACAAGGUCAAAGAUAA
Neofelis nebulosa (Clouded leopard) is the source of this 392-nucleotide long non-coding RNA. RefSeq lists it as uncharacterized. The record is from RefSeq and is a predicted model, not a curated record. The transcript has 4 exons. Lineage: Eukaryota; Metazoa; Chordata; Mammalia; Carnivora; Felidae.